GGGAAUAGAAGUAGAGCCUUGAGUCAAGCCUCUUAAACCCUCGAAGCGGAUGCGCGAGGUUGGCGCUACUGGUUCUGUUGAUAUUGGUGGAAAUGGAGGGAAGGGGAAGAAGAGGAAGAAGAAAAUUGAAGAUUCAGCUGCUUUGCCUACGAUUGAGAUUGUCAAAAAAUCCAAAACUCGUAGCCUUGAGGCUCUCAAGAAAAAGAGCUUACUUGGCUAGAGUUCUUCUAGUGAUCAGCUGUGAAGCUCUUCCAGCAAAAGGCUCGAGGUUGUCAAAAGUUCUGAACCUACGAUACGGGAUCCCGGGGUUAAGUCCGAUGCCUCAAAGUCAAAGCUCGAAGCUGCUGGAGCUUUAGCUGGGCUAAAAUUGAAAAAGGCUGGCAAGAAAACUGGAAUAAGAAUUGUGAGUGUCUUAGAUGAUGA
Molecule: long non-coding RNA, 423 nt
Filed under: Setaria viridis
Lineage: Eukaryota; Viridiplantae; Streptophyta; Magnoliopsida; Poales; Poaceae
Description: long non-coding RNA (SVIR_LNC004896)
Source: RNAcentral